AGGCGGGGCGCGGAGGGGCGCGGCGUUUGUGCGGGCGCUGCGAGCGCGACCCGCCCGGAGCCGGCUCUGCGGUGACGUCUCAAAGAGCCAUUGAGGGGAGCCCCUGGCAGGAGGGCGCACCUGCAGAGACGCGCCUUUGAAAGCGCUGCAGCUGCCAGGGGCUGUCGGCCGGGCACCUAGCGGGGCAAAGAAUGGGGGACCCGGCCAUUUGAAUGGGAGGCCCCUGGGAAACAGCAGGCAUGUGCCAAGCCGGCAGACUGGGAAAGAAAGUGCGCUUCAUCGGUGACUCUGUUGUUGGGGACCCUUUCUCAGCCUCGGCGCCCUCAUGUGCAUGACAAAGGGGCCGCUGCCGCGAGGCCAGCUGUCCCGGAGGGCGGCAAGCGUGGCGGACAGAGCCGGGGCCCUCUGGCGCUUCUCUGGCCCUGACCCGGACGGGGAAGCCCAGGAGCGCGGCACCCGCCCUCUCUUGGGAAACCUGCCACCGAGUGGCCUCCUCCCAGUGCCUGCCCUGAGCUCCAGCUCAGCAUCCAGGUGUUUGCCGAAGCCAGAACUACCCGUGCCAGAGUCAUGAAGGAACAUUGGAGGCAGGGGUGCGCUGUGGCCACAGCAAGCCUGGGUCAGGGAGCCUGUGAGAACUGAUCGUGAACAGCCAAAGCCAGAGGCCGAGGGCGGCGCUGGCUCAUCUGCAAGCUCAGCCCCCUCCCCCAGCACACCUGGCUCGGAUGCAGAUGCGCUGGACCUGCCUGGACUCCUGUCCUCCCAAGCUCGGCCCCUGCUCCCUCCUCACCCCACAGGCGGUGGAGGAGGAGCAGGACUAGCUCAGGGUCCUCUGGAAGAGGCCAGGCAGGGGAAAAUUCCUCACCAAGCACCCUCACUGGGACAGCAGGGAGCCCCUGGGGAGGAGCACGCGCUCGCCUCCCAGGGAUCUGGGCCGUGGCCACAGCUGGCUGCCCCUUGUGGUCAGGCACCUGCCCUUCAGAGCCCUUCGGGCCUGUGGGCGCAGAGAGCGUGGCUGCCUCCUGGGCUCAGCCCACCUCACAGUAAGACCCUGGGAAGCACCGUCCUCCCUUGGGUCAUGUGGGCCGGAAUGCCCAGCCCUGACCUGGCAGGGUGAGGGCAACGUGCUCGUCUGGGUGACAGAGGGUCUCAUGGCAGCAGGGGCCUGGGCCGUGGUAGUCUUUGGUCCUAGGACAUCCGUCAGCUUUGCCUCAACCCCUUUAGAGCCUCAACUCAGGGUCCUGUUGCUGCCCCCGCCCCCCAGCAAGUCUCCCCACCCCUCCCAGCCGAGGACGCCCUUGGCCUCGGCCCUGCGUGACUCCCCAGCAUCCUGGGCUCCUCGCAGCCGGCCCUGGGUUGGACCAGCACCUCUGGGAUUUCACGCGUCCCUCAGAGGUGGCAGGUGACUUGGUGCGGGUUGGAGGGACCACAGCUAACAGGGGCACACACAGUGGAGCCCCUCUGGGAGCCUGGCCACCAAGGGAGUUAAGAACUACACAGGUCCUGGCUCUGGACAAGGCCCCAUCCACUGUCGGCCCGACACGGAGAGGGCCUGCGGCAGCCGGCGCAAGCUACACAGGGGUCGCACAGGUGGGUUGGGGUCCGAGACCGGCGCCGUCCCCGCCAGCCUGGUGGUGAGCUUCCCCUGCUGUGAGCCUGUCCCUCCUGCCCCGCCCGUCGGGAGUCUGAGAGCACCAGGGUGUACCUGACCUGAGCUCCCUCCUGACUGAAGCCCGGGGCCCAGACAGCUGCCCGGCAACCUCCCUCCUCCAGGACGCAGCGGUCAGAGCCACGGUCAGACCCACUGCCUAAAUGUUCGCUCAGCUGCUCAGUCUUAAUGGGCUUUCACACCAGGAAGAAUUAAAUUAGGUACUCCCUUGCUAAUCACCCUCUCUGUUUUCAAACAAAACAAGCCUUGGGCCCUGGAUUGUCCACUUUGAAUUAGAAGAGGAAUUCCCCUGGCAGCUGCCGGGGCCUGAUUGGCCCCCUGCAUCUCCGCAGAUGGGACUGCAGCCCCCUCCCCGCCCCCACCCCCUCUGCUGGAGUAACCUGUCAGGCAGGAGGGGAGGGGGCUACCCAGCCCCUCUGAUCUGAGCAUCUGAAGCUUCCCGACCCUGCACGCCCACAUGCAUUUAGAAGCAAACUCCAAGUCCCAACCGCAGCCUGGACCUGUGACCCCUCUUCCUCAUGGCCUGAGCCUUGGGGCCUUGCCCCCGUCCCCACAGAGCUCCUGGCACUAGAGCUUCUGCUCAGGUUUCAUUCUCUGGGUUUUUGGCCGCGCAGUCGCCCUUCUUCUGACCCCUGGCUGCCCCUUGUCUCCCUCGAGAGGUCCAGGCCCUGCCCGGUGGUCAGAGGCCCUCCUUCCCCUUCAUGGGCCUGAGCUGGGGUGGGGGUGGGAGGGGCUGCAAGGACACACUUUCUGGGGCUGGCCCGUCUGGCCGGAACCCCCUCUCAGCUCCCCAGUAUCUCUCAUCCAAGGUGCUGGGGAGGCCCCAGCUCUGGUAUAUUCUGGGCCAGGUUGGCCGACCUUGCCUCUGGGUGUGGCUUCAGCCAGGCUGAGGGGAGGCCACAGAGGCUGAGGAGGACCCAGCUGCCUUUGGGCGGGCGCCUCUGUGCACUGGUCCUGGACCCAGACCCCCAGGGCCCCCGAGGGCCAGGAUUGGCUCAAGGCUUCCGUGUGUGGCCUUCCUCCCGCCUGCAGGGAUCGGAAACAGGAUUAGGUGGGAUUACAAGCUCCAGAAGCCUCCUGCAGAGGCUCCGAGGACCAGCAGCCCGCCCGCCCUGGCUGGGAGUGGUCCCUGCUGCACGUGGGUCAGGGAGGGAAGAGGGCACUUUUGCAGGAGCCCCAUCUUGGGGGACAGUGGCCCUCUGUCUACAGAGCUGACCCCGAGAUGGGGCACGGGCUCAAGGCCCCAGGCGGCUGGAGCGGCCGCCAGCGGCACUGAGAGCCGCAGACAGGACGGCCUCCCUCUGAGCCGCAGACUCAGCAGCCCUGCUUCUUCUCCCUGUAGCCACCUGCCUCUUCUGCAGUGGGCUCCCUGCCCUCCCCAGGGCCGCUGUCCGGCUGGCAGGAGGGGGCGCAGGGGAAGAGGACAGGGCUUGGAUGACCACCACAAAGGGAAUUCUUUGUAAGUCUGCUUCCGUGUAUGUGGGGGAGAACGAACAGGGAACCUGAGGCCCAGAGAGGUUAAGUCACCACCUUAGGUGUCACAGCCCUGCAGCAGAGCCAGGACUAGAGCCAGGACUAGAGCUAGUACCUCCCAGUUCCCCUUCACCUCCCUGGACCCCCUUCCUCCUCCAAGACGGGUCUGUGACUGGCAGUUGGCACACGCCUCUUGUCCUCUGCUGUGGGUCAGCAUUUUGAGGGGCUGCUUCCUGGCCUGCCAGACUCCACAGCCCACCCCGCUGGGCCCCGGGCCCCUCAACACCCCUCCGCCGGGGUUUGCAGGUCUUCCUUAAUCCGUUUCUAACCUCUCUGGGCUUCUGGAAGCCGCAGGAAUGAGGGUCUGGAAUCAGCGUCUCAGCCCCGGAUUCCAGGCCCAAGUAGAAAAUGACCCACAGGCUCUCCGGACUCUCCUGAAGAUCCAAGGCCAUGGCUUCUGGUGGCCCCUGUGUGGUACGGGCUGGCAUCCAGCGGCCGAGAAAGGGGCACAGCCCACGCCCCCAGAGCUCAGCCUGGCCCGCCCAGCAAGACCAAGAGGAGACUCUGAGGCCCAUGGCAGGAGGACCCACUGUGUACCCGAACCCAUUCUUUCAAGGCGUCCACAGAGGCGCACCCUCAAAAUCUUCAUAGAGGAGUUCCCGUCGUGGCUCAGCAGGUUAAGAACCUGACACAGUGUCUGUGAGGUCACGGGUUUGAUCUGUGGGUUAAGGAUCUGGCGUUGCUGGGAGCUGUGGUACAGGCUGCAGAUGCAGCUCAGAUCCCGCGAGGCUGCGGUGUAGGCCGGCAGUUGCAGCUUCCAUUUGACCCCCAGCCUGGGGACUUCCAGGUGCUGCAGGUGCAGCC
Molecule: long non-coding RNA, 4003 nt
Filed under: Sus scrofa (pig)
Lineage: Eukaryota; Metazoa; Chordata; Mammalia; Artiodactyla; Suidae
Description: lncRNA (ENSSSCG00000053316.1)
Source: RNAcentral